Molecule: long non-coding RNA, 1239 nt
Organism: Rhagoletis pomonella (apple maggot)
Lineage: Eukaryota; Metazoa; Arthropoda; Insecta; Diptera; Tephritidae
Exons: 3
Source: RefSeq, a predicted model, not a curated record
UAUGCAAAAAAAUUGCAAAAAAUUUUAUUUGAGUUCAGUUCAGCGCACUUUAAGAGCUAUUUAGGUGUGCAAUAAGAUAAUUCGUCAAUUGAACUAAAUGAACUGAAUGAACUAAAAAACUAGUUCACUAAGGUGAGCGAACUACAACUGAAUGGUUUACUCUAAAGAACUAAAGUGCCCAGCUCCAAUCCGAAUGCCAGCAGGGAUACGAGCACAUACGAACCCUGCAGAUAAUAAAACAUUUAUAAAAAAGUUACGUUAAUAUUUAGCCGUAAAUUAAAUACACUUUUUAAUAUUUGAAAAUUUUGUUACUUUUACCAACGCAUCAAAUCAACAACACUAUAAACUCCGGAGGUUGUAAUAAUGGCAACGCAUUGUGGAUUAUUAAGGAAUGCUGCAACUAUCUAACUAAGUACGUACCGCAAAAGCCACCGCUCAUCACCGCCGGCUCGUCAUCAUGGGCCUCGUCAUUGCUUUACGGGCGUCUAUGCGAGAGAGUGCGGCAUAUAAUAAAACAUCUGCAAAUUUUCACUGCAUAAAAGCGAAAGAUGCAAAAUUACAGCACGCAAAGAAAAGAAAAUUAAAAUUAAAAUGCAGAGAUGCGCAAAAAAGACACCGACCAUCAAGCAAGCGCUAAGCAAAGAUGGAAGUGCUGAAGAAACAAUCUUUGCCAAGCACCAUUUUCAUUCGAUGCAAACUGCGUUUCGACCGGCCUCUAACUACCAGCAGCGUGGCGUGGCCUCCCAACUCCACCACUCGGCGGAUCAUUAGCGGUAAUAUGCGGAUAUGAAUUGCGCAUGUGCGGCGCAUUUAUUAUGUUUGCAUUUCACUAACUCGCCUCACAAUUGACUGCACAGUAACACAGCUACAGGGGUAUGCGCAACAAAAACAACAUCACACUGAGAGUACAUCGAUAGCUAGCUAGCGGUAGCUGCCGUCGCAAUCCUUCUUCCGCCUUGGCGUUGUUGGUUGCUUCAAUUGUAAUGGGUGUUAACAUAGUACAUAAAUAUGAAUGCAUUCACCCAGCAGAAUAUUUGACUAACUCAGAACUAGCGUAGAACUAGAGCUUUUGCCGACAGUACUAGCUCUCGCGCAAUACCCAAGCAAUGCUUUCAACUGUCCAGUUUUACACGGCGAUGUCAUUGGCGGUGGAAAUUGUCGCCCAUUGGAUUACUUUGCAGCUAGUUUUUAACCGGUACCGUUUUGGACAGUUUUUUUUAUAAGAAAACGUUUUCAGUU